RNAcentral lists this ribosomal RNA (473 nucleotides) under uncultured bacterium. Its description in RNAcentral is "bacterial SSU rRNA". It matches the Rfam family "Bacterial small subunit ribosomal RNA", at positions 28 to 507 of the family's 1533-position model. The record is from RNAcentral.
GACGAACGCUGGCGGCGUGCCUAACACAUGCAAGUCGAGCGGGGUUGAAGCGAGGGGUAACUCGGACUUCUACCUAGCGGCGGACGGGUGAGUAACGCGUGGGCAACCUGCCUCAAGGUUUGGGAUAACAGCUCGAAAGGGCUGCUAAUACCGGAUAUGCCUGUGGCCUCGCAUGGGGCUAUGAGCAAAGGGGAAACCCGCCUUGAGAUGGGCCCGCGUCCCAUCAGCUAGUUGGUGAGGUGAAAGCUCACCAAGGCGACGACGGGUAGCCGGCCUGAGAGGGUGACCGGCCACACUGGGACUGAGACACGGCCCAGACUCCUACGGGGGCAGCAGUGGGGGAUCUUGCACAAUGGGCGAAAGCCUGAUGCAGCGACGCCGCGUGAGCGAAGAAGGCCUUCGGUUGUAAGCUCUGUCUGGAGGACGAAACGAAAUGACGGUACCUCCGGAGGAAGCCACGGCUAACGUACGUG